AUUUCGGGCCCUGGUUUGGGAAACCACAGCGGACACACGCAAGGCGUGAGCAAGGUGCUAUACUAUAGGUGGACCGCAAUGUCAAAAUUGCUGUUCGGCCAUUGCUCGUGAAAAAACAAAUUUGUUUACAAAACAUAUCAUAUCUUUUGGUGACAAAUGCAUUCGUCGGCAAAAUAGCUGCUCGCGCUUUACUGUAGAUAUCUACAAUCAGCGGUCGAAUUAAAAACAGUGCAGAAGGAUGUUUUGAGUAUAUUUUAGCUUCUAGCCGCGCAAUCAAUGCUUUUCUUUCCAAGCAAGAUGUACUUCUGUUUGGCUCCUAUCGGCGGGGAAAACAGUACUUACGGCGACGGUGACAAGAAAUAACGCUGAUUGCGAGAUUACCAGAUCCAGAAGAUCCGGAAGGGCUGUUACAAGUAAUUGGUUUUGCUAGAGCAAAAGGAGGUGAAAUAAACUGUUGGAAUCACGAUUAUCGAUCACGCCAGAAGAUCCGGAAAGAGUUGUUGAAAGUAAUUGGUUUUGCUUAAAUGCUAGAGCACAAGGAGGUUGACAAUGAUUGCAACAGGAAAAUAACCAGUAGCAGCUGGUAUGGCUUCUUAAACAAUGUUGAAUAAAAUAGCAGAACUACUGAAAAGUGUAAUCAAAAGCAGUCUUCACAGUCACUGUCUUCACUUCAGAAGACAGUAAGCGGGAUAUACUGGAUUAUUUAAUUCCAUUUACCUCAACGUGUAUUAGGACAUGAUAA
Molecule: long non-coding RNA, 742 nt
Organism: Toxorhynchites rutilus septentrionalis
Lineage: Eukaryota; Metazoa; Arthropoda; Insecta; Diptera; Culicidae
Exons: 4
Source: RefSeq, a predicted model, not a curated record